RNAcentral lists this ribosomal RNA (429 nucleotides) under Chloroflexota bacterium. RNAcentral's name for it is "Chloroflexi bacterium partial 16S ribosomal RNA". It matches the Rfam family "Bacterial small subunit ribosomal RNA", at positions 355 to 776 of the family's 1533-position model. The record is from RNAcentral. Lineage: Bacteria; Bacillati; Chloroflexota.
UAGGGAAUCUUCGGCAAUGGACGAAAGUCUGACCGAGCAACGUCGCGUGAGUGAAGAAGGUUUUCGGAUCGUAAAACUCUGUUGUUAGAGAAGAACAAGGACGUUAGUAACUGAACGUCCUCUGACGGUAUCUAACCAGAAAGCCACGGCUAACUACGUGCCAGCAGCCGCGGUAUUUCGUAGGUGGCAAGCGUUGUCCGGAUUUAUUGGGCGUAAAGCCAGCGCAGGCGGUUUCUUAAGUCUGAUGUGAAAGCCCCCGGCUCAGCCGGUGAGGGUCAUUGUAACCUGGGAGUCUUGAGUGGAGAAUAAGAGAGUGGAAUUCCAUGUGUAGCGGUGAAAUGCGUAGAUAUAUGGAGGAACACCAGUGACGAAGGCGGCUCUCUGGUCUAUAACUGACGCUGAGGAUCGAAAGCGUGGGAAGCAAACAGG